Small nucleolar RNA from Cololabis saira (Pacific saury), 74 nucleotides. RefSeq annotates it as small nucleolar RNA SNORD66. The transcript has a single exon. Lineage: Eukaryota; Metazoa; Chordata; Actinopteri; Beloniformes; Belonidae. The record is from RefSeq and is a predicted model, not a curated record.
AUCCAGUGAGUUGUAUGUUUGUGCCACGUGUCUGUGCUACUGAUCAUUAGUGAUGGGUUUGAGGAACUGAGGAG